CCGAGUGAGGGCCCUCUGGGUCCAACCUCCCACCCGUGUUUAUUUUACCUUGUUGCUUCGGCGGGCCCGCCUUAACUGGCCGCCGGGGGGCUCACGCCCCCGGGCCCGCGCCCGCCGAAGACACCCUCGAACUCUGUCUGAAGAUUGUAGUCUGAGUGAAAAUAUAAAUUAUUUA
This 175-nucleotide unclassified non-coding RNA is filed under the name Penicillium nalgiovense. RNAcentral's name for it is "partial ITS1". The record is from RNAcentral. Lineage: Eukaryota; Fungi; Ascomycota; Eurotiomycetes; Eurotiales; Aspergillaceae. RNAcentral also lists the same sequence under 3 other names.